This 468-nucleotide ribosomal RNA is filed under the name uncultured bacterium. RNAcentral's name for it is "partial 16S ribosomal RNA". It matches the Rfam family "Bacterial small subunit ribosomal RNA", at positions 28 to 507 of the family's 1533-position model. The record is from RNAcentral.
GACGAACGCUGGCGGCGUGCUUAACACAUGCAAGUCGAACGGAAAGGCCAUGCUCUUGUGGGGUGCUCGAGUGGCGAACGGGUGAGUAAAACGCGAGUAACCUGCCCUUGACAUUGGGAUAAAUUUAGGAAACUGGGGCUAAUACCGGAUAGGAGAUCCUGCUGCAUGGUGGGGGAUGGAAAGUUUCGGCGGUUGGGGAUGGGAUCGCGGGUUAUCAGCUUGUUGGUGGGGUAGGGGCUUACCAAGGCUUUGAAGGGUAGGCGGCCUGGGAGGGCGGCCGGCCCCCAUGGGACUGAGGUACGGCCCAGUAGCCUACCGGAGGCAGUGGUGGGGAAUAUUGCCCAAUGGGGCGGAGCCAGAUGCGACAACGCCCCGUUCGGGAAGAUCGCCUUUGGGGUGUAAACCGGUUUCGCCGUUUACGUAGCCUUAGUGACGGUAAUUGGUAAAAAAGCCACGGCUAACUACGUG